RNAcentral lists this ribosomal RNA (506 nucleotides) under uncultured bacterium. RNAcentral describes it as "partial 16S ribosomal RNA". It matches the Rfam family "Bacterial small subunit ribosomal RNA", at positions 29 to 523 of the family's 1533-position model. The record is from RNAcentral.
AGUGAACGCUGGCGGUAGGCCUAACACAUGCAAGUCGAACGGCAGCACAGGAGAGCUUGCUCUCUGGGUGGCGAGUGGCGGACGGGUGAGGAAUACAUCGGAAUCUACUCUGUCGUGGGGGAUAACGUAGGGAAACUUACGCUAAUACCGCAUACGACCUACGGGUGAAAGCAGGGGAGCUUCGGCCCUUGCACGAAUGAAUGAGCCGAUGUCGGAUUAGCGAGUUGGCGGGGUAAAGGCCCACCAAGGCGACGAUCCGUAGCUGGUCUGAGAGGAUGAUCAGCCACACUGGAACUGAGACACGGUCCAGACUCCUACGGGAGGCAGCAGUGGGGAAUAUUGGACAAUGGGCGCAAGCCUGAUCCAGCCAUACCGCGUGGGUGAAGAAGGCCUUCGGGUUGUAAAGCCCUUUUGUUGGGAAAGAAAUCCAGCUGGCUAAUACCCGGUUGGGAUGACGGUACCCAAAGAAUAAGCACCGGCUAACUUCGUGCCAGCCGCCGCCGUAA